Non-coding RNA from Nematostella vectensis (starlet sea anemone), 72 nucleotides. Lineage: Eukaryota; Metazoa; Cnidaria; Anthozoa; Actiniaria; Edwardsiidae. The record is from Rfam.
GACUCCGUGGCGCAAUGGUAGCGCUUCUCACUCCAGAUCAGAAGGUUGCGUUUUCAAAUCACGUAGUGUUCA